GCCCUGCUCGAAGCCACCGUUGGCGGCCGCCGCCGCGUGCUAGGCCCGGGUGCGCGGCGUCGUUCGGCUGCUGUGCUGCCACUCAGCUGUCAGCCUUCCAUCAUCGGCCCGUUGGCCUGGGUCCCCAACUGCCAGUCAACUGUCAUCGGGUGGGCAGAGCUCUGCGUUCUGGUGCCCGCGUUUACACGUCUCCCGCAUGGGCCCCACGCGGUGCCAAUUCAAAUGCUACAUGCUUGUCUUCAAAGAAGCCAUCAGCAGAUCCUUGUUGGGUGACAACGAGGGGUCAUCUCCUUCACCUGGGCCCUGGUCCUUGCAGACACCUUCUCGGGCAAGAGCAAGAGGCAUGAGCUGUUCAAGCCGGCCAAAGCACGAAGACCGUUUCAGAGUUAUGAAGCUAUUUGUGGAGCAAAGGGACAGAGACUAAAAAGGAAGAGUACAAGCUACUUAGUGUGGACGAGCAUAAGUCAGUAGGUACCAGGACCAGCCUCAUUCUGGGUGUCCCCUCCUGAAUGUCACCAGAGAGAAAGCCGAAGAAAAGGUGUCAGGAAUGGUUUAAUCCAAGGCCUCACUAACCACUUGGAAAGACACCAACUGAAGACACUGCUGCUGUCUGAAGAGAGGACUUGGUCGCCACCCUCAAGGCUUGCCCAUCUCGCUAGUCUCCCGAGAAACUUCGUGGUUGGCACAUCCUAAGGAAACUAAAAUACAAAGAAAGAAGUGACCAAAGGAUAGACAAGAGAGAAAUGGGCAUCGGCUCCAAGCUUUGAACCCAGCAGAGGUGUUUGCGGUAGGAAGCGGCAGUGGACACACAUCAUGGGAUUACUGUCAAGCAGCCACCGUGGAACAAGUGUCUUAGAUGCUGCCAAAUCGCCUCAGGCCUCCAAGAAGCGCUGAGAUCAGUCAUGUCCUCAGGACCGCACUGCUUUCUCACAUGAAGAGCCAGAAGUGGACUGCCAACUCCAUCGGAGCCACUUGGGGACAUUCAGUGUAGAGGGGGGUUGCAGGCUGCCCCAGAGAUGGCAAACAUCUGCACCCCCAGCCUGUUCCUGGAGGCUUGGGGCUGGCACUGGGGCAGGAAGCUGCCUCACCUCACACAGUGAGUCACAGGCAAUGCCCACUCCCAGGAGCCUGUGCCUCCCCAGGCAGGUAGGAGUGCAUCCCAGAUGCUGUCGGCACUGGAGAACAGCUGCCCACUGGGCUUCGUUACGUGGCGAGGCUCUCCCGAAGGUCGUCGCCCUGAAGGAGCCGCACAAAGGACCUGGUGAUGCCAUUCUACAGAUCUGAUUUGUCAGGUGACACGGAGACCCCCAAGAAGACAAAGCCUAAGAGUAGUGGUCCCCAAUUCAAAGCCACCGGUGUGACCCUUCUCCUCUCUAUCCCAGCUCAUCUCGUGGGGCCACCCAUGAUCAGAUCUGACCGCCUGACCCACCACCCCAGCCACGUAACUACCAUCGUGAGAUUAACUUGACCAAGUGAUUACUUGCUGGUA
Long non-coding RNA from Mesocricetus auratus (golden hamster), 1489 nucleotides. RefSeq lists it as uncharacterized. NCBI's taxonomy places the organism in Eukaryota, Metazoa, Chordata, Mammalia, Rodentia, Cricetidae. The record is from RefSeq and is a predicted model, not a curated record. The transcript is spliced from 4 exons.